This 74-nucleotide transfer RNA is filed under the name Lactobacillus sp. RNAcentral describes it as "tRNA-Pro". It matches the Rfam family "tRNA". Rfam says of the family: Transfer RNA (tRNA) molecules are approximately 80 nucleotides in length. Their secondary structure includes four short double-helical elements and three loops (D, anti-codon, and T loops). Lineage: Bacteria; Bacillati; Bacillota; Bacilli; Lactobacillales; Lactobacillaceae. RNAcentral also lists the same sequence under 7 other names. The record is from RNAcentral.
CGGAACUUAGCUCAGCUUGGUAGAGCGCUGCGUUCGGGACGCAGAGGUCGCAAGUUCAAAUCUUGUAGUUCCGA